Molecule: long non-coding RNA, 6912 nt
Filed under: Homo sapiens (human)
Lineage: Eukaryota; Metazoa; Chordata; Mammalia; Primates; Hominidae
Description: non-protein coding LINC00894:45
Source: RNAcentral
GCUUUGCCAUCAGUGGUGUGAGGAGCAGGCCGGGGCAGUGGGCAAUUGAGCGAGGAACAGCUGCGGGAGGACUCCGCGGACUCCUGAGAACCAGCUUAGGGGAGCGGCGGCUUGGGGAGGUGUAGGGUGGAAUCACGAGAAAGCUCUGUGGGAGGGCCUGGUGCACAGCUCAGCUGCAGGGUGGAGCUGAGGGAAAGCCGGGCGUUCCUGGAGGAGGAGCAGGGCGAGGCUGUGGCAAAGCGCUGUGGGAGCAGAUGGGGCGGGGCUGCGGGAAAGAGCUGGAGAAGGAGGAGCCAAGCUGCACCAAGGCUGGCGGGUGAGAAUUGCGGGGGAGGAGCUAGUGCAGAGCUGGAGGAAAGAGCUGAAAGGCAAGAGUCCAAACUUUCCCGCGGCGACCUAACUGCACCUCCAGUGUCUUCCCCCAGAGGGCACAGAAGCAGCAAGAAGGGCGGGAACACUUGACUGGGGUCCAUGCAGCUCUAGGCUGAGUCUUGCAGGGCUGAGCCCCCCAGGCCUGCUCUCCUGUGUCCUGGCCGCUCCGUCAGUGCCUGCCAGUGGGGUCCAGAGGGACCGUUUUUUUAACGCCUCUUUUGCAGUCUCCCGCAUUGACUUCAUAACCAAGUUCUGGGUCCCUGCCUCUGGAGUGCCUGAUGAGACAAAACGGCUCCUCGUCCUGCAUCCCCGCUGCUACUUCCAGAAUUCAGGCCUCGUGGUCUGGAGCCUGCACUGUUCCAUGAGCCUCCUGAGCAACCUGGAGUCCUCUGUCUUUCUUCCCUCAGUGAGAUGCGCCUACUUCUCCCUGGAGAAGCUUGAGGAAGCAGAAAUGCUGGAGAUGAGAGACCUCGUCCGCACAGGGGCUUGUUCUUCUGUGUCUUUGCAGGGCUGUUUUGGACUCAGUAUUCACCUAAGCACUCCAAAUUGGUCGUGCGGAUGUGCGAUGUAGGAGGAGGAGAGAGGUAAAGUGGAGGAAUAGGAGCUGGAGGGGAGGAGGAGAGAAGAAAAGAGGAGAAGGAGGGGGAAGAGAGGGAGCGGGUUCAAGGAGGGAAGGAGGAGGAGAAGGAGAGGAGGAGGAGAUGAGACCAAGGAGAAGAGGUGAAGGAGGAGAGGAGGACACAGAAAAGAGAAGAAAGAGGAGAGGAGACGGAGAAGAGGAGGAGGAGUAACAAAGGAGGAAGAAGAGGAAGAGGACUAGAAGAGCAAGUAAGGAGGAGGAGGGGGGAGUAGGAGGAGAGGAGAAGGACAGAAGGGGAAGGAGAGGCAGAUGUGGAGGAGAGGAGGUGGAGGACAGGAGGGGAUGAGAAAGAGGAGGAGAAAAGGAGAGGAGAGGGAUGAGGGGGGAGGAGGAAGAGAAAAGAACAGGAGGAGAAGAGGAGGAGAAAAGGAGGAGGAGUGAAAGAAAAGAGGAGAAGGAGAGGAGGGGGGGAGGACGGGGAGGAAGGGAGAAGGAGAGAAAUAGGAGGAGGGAGGAAAGGAGGAGAGGACGAGAGGAGGAGCAGAGGAGGAGGAGGAGAGGAAGGGGAGGAGAUUUGGAGGAAGAGGGGAGGUGGAAGAAGAAAGGAGAAGGCGGAGAAGAGGAGAAAGCAGAGAGGAGGAGGCUGAAGAAAGGAGGACCAGGAGGAGAGGACGAGGAGGAAAGGAGGAAGAGGAAGAGUGGAAUAAGAGGAGCAGAGGAAAAGGAGGAGGGGGUUGGGGAGGAGUGGAGAGGAGAGGAGGAGGAACAGAGUUGGAGGAGGUGAAAGAGAAAAGAGGAGAAGGAGGAGAGGAAGAGAGAAGGAAAUGAGAAGGAGAAAAGUAGGAAGAAGAAGAGAGAAGAGGAGAGGAUGAGGAGGAGGAGAGGAGAAGGAGAGCAGGAGGUGGGAGGAGGAGGAGAGUAAGAGGAGGAAAUGAGGAGGAAGAAAGGAGGACAGAAGGUGGAGAGGAGGAGGAGAGGAGGAGAAGGAAACGAGGAGGAGGACGAGGCUGCACCACCCUUAUCAGGUUCCAGUUCUCGGUGCGCCCCGUUCUGCAAGACACUCUCCUGUGGUCAGCCCUGGUCUGCAGAGGAUUCCCGCGCUGGAUCUCUGAAGGAUGCUGGCGCCCUCUCUGCAGCACAUUCCUGAUGCCCUUGCUGACACGUGUCCUCUGGGCCCUCUCCUGAAACCUGAUUCUCCGGGGUGUCUUCUGGCCUCACCUCUUCUGUCCAGUUCCAGCAAGCUCACUUUGCUUAGCCUUUGAAUCCCUUCCUUCACUGUCUGCCAUGACAGUUCAGGCCUUUCACCGUCACUCAGGCCUGGACCAUCACUGUUGCCCAUCCCAUGCCAUCAACAGGUUUGCCCCAUCCCUUCGGCUCCCUACCAGGGCAUUCAGUUGUGUUGAGCAGCAGAGUGUCUCCAAGUCCCCACUGGUUGAGCUGCAUCCGGGUCCCAUCCCACAGGGACCCCCUGGCCGCUGCAGAUGCAUGCUGAUCCUGCAGCUCCUCGAGGGUGUCAUCGCUUUCCCCCUUCCCAGACCCAGCACACCCUGCCUGCAUGGCGCUGCGCUGCACCUUCACUCUGGUCACGGGUCUGGCAGUCAGCUCACCAAUUCCUCCUGCUUCCCUGGGACUUGCCGGCUUUUAGCACUGCAAUUCACUCAGCAAACUGGGACUGUUGGUCACCCUACCUGGCAGCCAGUGAUAAGGUGAGGGCCACUCCUGGGAGGGAGGACACCUGUGGGGAAAAUUCUUGUGUUAUUUAUUUCUCCUUCGGGAUAGGGUGCCUGCAGCGCUUCAUGGGAGGGGGUGGGCUGAUGCUGCGGGCUCAGAAGUUUCAAGGGCAUCUGGGGAGACCAGAUAUUCAGAGACCUUCUAGAUGUGCCUGUUCCAUGUAUCAGGGACGCAGGUUUUCCCAACAGGGCUGGUGUCAUUGGCAUGACAGACCUGCCUUGGCUGAGCGUUCACCUGUCUUUGGAGUUCAGCCACCUUAGCAAGUCCUGGGUUUGUUCUUCAGACUUUGCUGCUCGCCCAUUGCCUGGAUCGGGGGCUACUUUGUAAACCACCAGGAAGACUCCAGUGUUUCUGGUUAAUUUUUAGAUGUUUGUUAAUUGCUCUUGGUCUCUCAUUAAUCCCCUGUGGGUCAUCCAGGAAACAUACUCACCACUGUCUGUUCUCUGAGUUUUCAUUUCCAGGCAUCCGCCCUGCCUGGAUCUCCUCACCUGCCAGGAACUUCCUCUCCACAAGCCGGCCAUCCCAGCAAAAGUUCUAACACCAAAGGUCUGGCAACUAGCCUGCCAUCUUGUGCCUGGAGCCGCCUGCGUGCCACCUACUCCCGAAGAUGGGAACCUUGUUGCCAGUUGGGCAGAUGCGGGGCAAUCCUGUACCAAGACCCCAUUUUACCACCUGCUUUCUCAGACCACUCUGGAACCCACUGUCUCAGAUUGUGUCCUCCAGGAAGCAGACCAUGAGAGGGAGUUGGCAGGGCCAAAGAUUUACUGGGGCUAACUAACACUCAGGAAAGGGAUAGGAAGGAAACAGGGCUGGAGAGCAGGUUGAGCCCGACCUGACAGUCUCGAGCAGCCCAACAGGGAGGUGUGGAGCAAGGGUUGCCCACUAGAGGGGCCUGCAUUGGGUACGGGUGAUGGGGUCCACAUGGUACCUGGCAUAUAGCAGGCUGUGCAAUCCAUAUUAACUGACUGGAUAAAUUAAUGCCCAGAAAAGGUGCCCUGGAGAAUGGGUGUGUGCUGAACACAAUAGGGAAGGGCCCAGCAUCUGCCUUGGCAUAGGCAGAACUGUGCUGUGCCCUGCAACAGGCCACCUGAGAGCUGCUUUGAUCUUGUGUGUACAUUAGAUGACUGCCAGGGGCAUGAAGGGGAUGUGCUUCCAGGGCAUUUGCUGGCAGGGCGUCUCGUGAUCUCUUGGUAUUGGUGUGAGCACAGCCUGGCAGGAGAGGGCAGAUCUCCAUGCAAAGUAUGUCAGAAAGCAGAUGGAAGCCAGGCCCCCUCCUGAAAGAGGCUCCUUGAAGGUAGGUGCACACUCAUGUCUUUGUUACUUGUAAGGGGGCAUCUUACAGGCAAGAGGAGUUAGGUGAAUGUGAAGAGGAAGGAACUACUCUGGGCAGGGGGCUGGGGGACGCUUCGUAGAGGAGGGGGUGUUUGAGCUGGGCCUUGAAGGUCAAAAGGGUUUUGUUAGGUGGGAAAUGGGGGAAGGACAGUCUGAAAGGGUUAGGUACAUUCAAGGAGCCCAGAGAAGGUUCGUGGCUGGAGCAGACGCAUUCGUAGAGUGAAGUCAUGGGAGAGAAGAGGCUGGGAAACUAGAUUGGUUCCAACUCCUAAAGGACCACUGAAGGAGUGUGGGCUGCACGCUGGGUGCAGCAGGUGAGUUUCCUCACUUGGGUUUCACUGUCAGCAUUUUAAAAAGGCAAACUGGUUUUCUUCCUGAGAAGAAUUCAUUGAUUCACUUGUGGCCAGUAAGUCAUCUGGGCCAGAGGUUGGUGGGGAGAUGAUAGGGGUGCAAGUGUCAUCUUCAAUCACAGCAUAACUGCCCUUGCUUUCUUACCUCUCGUUUAGAUAUUUCAAUGCUUGCUCAGGUCCCCUGCGCCCUCCUUCCUUCUCCCUUCCCAGCCAUACUACUUAUGGGAUGACUUUCUCUUUGUAAAAUGACCGUUAGUCUUAUCAAAUUAAUCCCAAAGUAAUACCAUCAAUUUCCCCCUAAAAUACCAACAAGACCCCUGCUUGAAACUGCUUGUACAUUAGAGACAGAGAAGAGUCCAUGAGAAUCAACAUUUUCUGAGGACUCCAACUGUGUGCCAAGAGAGUUCCCCUGCUGGUGCCUCCUCUGUAGUAAAGGAAAGGCUCCUGGGACCACAUUAUCAUUCUCUUCACUCGAGAGAUGAGGACACUGAAAUUCAGAGAGGGGAAGUGAUUUGCCUCAGCUUGUACUAAAGAAACAUUUCAACAGAGAACCCAGUGGAAAUUAUGACAUGUUAUCUUCUCAGAGUCCUGAACUCCCAUCCCUACCUCAGAAGAGACUCCUCUGUUCACAGAAGCUAAAGGCAGUUCCUUCCCAAUGGCAACUAUGUUUGGAUGUUGGAUCUACACUUUCUCAAGCACUGUGAUCUUCAAAUCAAAGGAGAUUUCUCCCAUUAUAUACUUCUUAUGAUCAACAAAUUCCAUCAUCUCCCCACUAAGAGAAAGUACUCCAAGAUGAUAGAAUGAUUUUAAAGUUAUGGGACUACAACAGCAGCCACAGGAACCUUGAGUAAGUACCAUGAACCCUGACCCUCAGCGUUAAUUUGUAAGCCUUUGGCAGUGAGAUGGAAUGUCUUCCUUCAGUUUGAAACAAAGGAAACCUAUUGCAUCGCACGUAAAUUUGUAUAUUGAUGCUAUAUUGACUUUGUAGCUGCCAUGCCUUCAUACAGACACCUCAUCCAGCCCCCACUGUUCCACUUAUUGUGAUGGUUUGUAUAUCUUUAUUUCAAAGAAGAUCUGUUUGAACCGUGUUUAAUUUCUUCUUUGACCUGCUUUCAUCACUGCCCAUGCCUACCCUGGUGGCAUUCUCAUCCACGAGACUACCACAUCCAUGCCACUAGGUGGCAUUCUCAUCCAUGAGACUACUGCACCCGUGCGCACGUCAAGAAGUAGCCAAGCCAUGGGCUGGAUUGUGCUUUUCCUGAGAGGAUGAAAGGCUUCAUGGAUACAUGCUAGUAUCCAUGUUCCUCUAUUCUCAAGUCAGGCACCAAGAUGAUGUUUCAUACCUGCCUGCCUUUCAAAGUCUCAUAAAUGUUCAUUGAAUAUCCACUCUAUGCAAGGCACUAGGGUAGUCACAGAGGCAAGGUUUGAGCUAAACUACAGGCCCUGCCCUCCAGGAGCUCCCGGUCUCAUGGCAGGGUGCAGAAGCCAGAAUAGAGGGCCAUGGCAUGGGAGAGAACUCUGCUGACCGGGAGCUCUGAAGGGUUAGGGGUCCAUGAGCCUGAUUUAUGGGGUCGUUGCCAUAGGAUUAGGGGCUCCCUGGCAUACAGUGAAUGGAGAGACUAGCAUUGCUGUGUUAUUUCACUGAGAGGGCACCAAUGUUCAGCCUCUGAGACCAGGGGAGGAAAGCAGUGGCCAUGAAUGUUCCCUCCCAUCCCGGGGACUGACUGGGCUCCUCCCACAGUCUCAGACACAGAGGAAGAAGUGUACUCACACUGCCCCAACACCAGUGAGUGGAAAUAUUUAUAGGUCUCUCAUUUGGUUUUAAUUUUUAUUUUUUUAUUUUUCAGAAAUUAAAAAAAAAAUCACACUCACAAAAUUAACCAUUACCCACAUUCCUACCAACAAGAAGUAACCAUUCUUAACCUUGUAAUAUGUUGGUUUCCAGAUUUAUGUUUAUGCUUUAAAAAAUUAUGCAGACAACAUAUUAGCACAUUGCCCCUUUUCUCAUUUGUUUUAAUCCAUGUUCUUCCCAUUUAUACAGGAGCAAUUCUUGCAUUCAGUUAUGGGAUACUAUAAAUGCCUAGUAUAAUGGCAGCAGAGAGAAUUACUAUGGUUGUAUACCUUUUCUCGCUCCUUGCUCCUCAAAUGCCUUAGAGUUUAAAAUCUAUUGUGGAAAGUUUGUGAAAUGCAGAACGGUGAAAAUAAACAAAUUACCAGUGGUUCUUUGGCUUCGGGAGAACUGUAAUUGAUGUUCAUUUUGGUAUAUUUCCCUCCAGUAUUUUUUCCAUAUGGUUUUAUUUUUAAAAAUUUUACCCCAUAUAUAUAUACAUAUAUAUAUACAUACUAACUACUCACAAAAUUAAAAAUUAAAAAAAUUAAAAAUGUAUAAAAUGAAAGAAAAAAAUUAGCCUCAUUUUGUAUUUACUAUUUUAUAAUCUGCCUUUUUGCUUAAUCUUCUUUGUCAUUAUAUGUUCUUCUACCUCAUGAUUUUUAAUAGCUGCCUAGUAUUCCAUUGUAUAGCCAUAGUUAUUUCAUACUUUAUAAUUG